Molecule: ribosomal RNA, 598 nt
Filed under: Poecilimon sp. n. 142 BU-2007
Lineage: Eukaryota; Metazoa; Arthropoda; Insecta; Orthoptera; Tettigoniidae
Description: Poecilimon n. sp. 142 BU-2007 partial 12S ribosomal RNA
Rfam family: Microsporidia small subunit ribosomal RNA (bases 181-589)
Source: RNAcentral
GUAGGAUAGAAAUAAAUCGUAUUAGUUAAAAGUUAUAUGGAGGAGUUAAGAGAAUAGUUAAUUUUAUAGGUAAAAUUUGUUAAAUUAAAUAUUUCUUAUAAUAGGAGGUUGAAGCUUUGAAAGUUAGAGUUGAAACUAGGAUUAGAUACCCUAUUAUUUUAAUUGUAAAGGAGGAAACUUGAGUAGUAUUAGUUAAGUGCUUGAAACUCAAAGAAUUUGGCGGUGUCUUAGUCUUUUCAGAGGAAUCUGUCCUAUAAUCGAUAUUACACGUUAAAUGUUACUUAAUUUGGUAUAGUCAAUUUGUAUACCGCCGUCGUAAGAUCAUCUUUUUAGAGAAAGAAUUUUCUUAAUAUUAUAAGAUAAUAUGUCAGGUCAAGGUGCAGUUUAUAGUUAAGUGGGAGAUGGAUUACAAUAAAUUUAUUUAAAUGGAUUUUCUAUUGAAAAGUAGAGAUGAAGGUGGAUUUGAAGGUAAUUUUGUUAAAUUAUGAUAAAAUGAUUUWAGCUCUGGGACAUGUACACAUCGCCCGUCGCUCUCGUUAUUAAGAUGAGAUAAGUCGUAACAUAGUAGUCGUACUGGAAAGUGUGGCUAUAAAGUCAA